This 947-nucleotide long non-coding RNA is filed under the name Macaca mulatta (Rhesus monkey). Its description in RNAcentral is "lncRNA (ENSMMUG00000059161.1)". Lineage: Eukaryota; Metazoa; Chordata; Mammalia; Primates; Cercopithecidae. The record is from RNAcentral.
AUGUGUGCUUAUGCAUGUGUCCCUGUGUACAGGAGUGUGUGUGUUUAUACAUGCAUCCCUGUGCACAGGGGUGUGCUUCUGUAUGCAUGUGUCCCCAUGUACAUGUGUGUGUGUUUAUGCAUGCAUCCCCAUGUACAGGUGUGUUUAUGCAUGCAUCCCCGUGUACAAUGUGUGUGUGUGUGUAUGCAUGCAUCCCCGUGUACAAUGUGUGUGUGUGUUUAUGCAUGCAUCCCCAUGUACAGGUGUGUUUAUGUAUGCAUCUCCGUGUACAGGUGUGUGUGUGUGUAUGCAUGCAUCCCCAUGUACAGGUGUGUUUAUGCAUGCAUCCCCAUGUACGAUGUGUGUGUGUGUGUGUUUAUGCAUGCAUCCCCGUGUACAGGUGUGUGUGUGUUUAUGCAUGCAUCCCCGUGUACAAUGUGUGUGUGUGUUUAUGCAUGCAUCCCCAUGUACGAUGUGUGUGUGUGUGUGUUUAUGCAUGCAUCCCCGUGUACAAUGUGUGUGUGUGUUUAUGCAUGCAUCCCCGUGUACAAUGUGUGUGUGUGUGUACGCAUGCAUCCCCGUGUACAGGUGUGUGUGUUUAUCAUGCAUCCCCAUGUACAUGUGUGUGUGUUUAUGCAUGCAUCCCCAUGUACAGGUGUGUUUAUGCAUGCAUCCCCAUGUACGAUGUGUGUGUGUGUGUUUAUGCAUGCAUCCCGUGUACAAUGUGUGUGUGUUUAUGCAUGCAUCCCGUGUACAAUGUGUGUGUGUGUACCAUGCAUCCCCGUGUACAGGUGUGUGUGUUUAUCAUGCAUCCCCAUGUACAUGUGUGUGUGUUUAUUCAUGUGUCCCCAUGUACAGGUGUGUGUGUUUAUGCAUGCAUCCCCAUGUACGAUGUGUGUGUGUGUGUGUGUGUGUUUAUGCAUGUGUCCCUGUGUACAGGGGUGUGUGUGUUUAUGCAUGUGUCCACA